UACGAGAGGCCCAAACGUUAUUCGGAAUUACUGGGCUUAAAGAGUUCGUAGGCGGCAUGAAAAGUAGGGUGUGAAAGCCCUCGGCUCAACCGAGGAAUUGCGCUCUAAACUGUCGUGCUCGAGGACCUAGAGGUGAGCAGAACAGAUGGUGGAGCGGUGAAAUGCGUUGAUAGUCAUCUGGAACACCAGUGGCGAAGGCGGCUCACUGGUCCGGUACUGCGCUGAGGUGCGAAAGCGUGGGAGCAAACAGG
Molecule: ribosomal RNA, 251 nt
Filed under: uncultured bacterium
Lineage: Bacteria
Description: partial 16S ribosomal RNA
Rfam family: Bacterial small subunit ribosomal RNA
Source: RNAcentral